This 76-nucleotide transfer RNA is filed under the name Candidatus Buchananbacteria bacterium CG10_big_fil_rev_8_21_14_0_10_33_19. RNAcentral's name for it is "tRNA-Thr". It matches the Rfam family "tRNA". From Rfam's summary of the family: Transfer RNA (tRNA) molecules are approximately 80 nucleotides in length. Their secondary structure includes four short double-helical elements and three loops (D, anti-codon, and T loops). The record is from RNAcentral. Lineage: Bacteria; Candidatus Buchananiibacteriota.
GCCCAUGUAGCUCAAUUGGUAGAGCAACGGUAUCGUAAACCGUAGGUUAUCGGUUCAAUUCCGAUCAUGGGCUCAA